This 117-nucleotide ribosomal RNA is filed under the name Sinocyclocheilus anshuiensis. The record is from RNAcentral. Lineage: Eukaryota; Metazoa; Chordata; Actinopteri; Cypriniformes; Cyprinidae.
GGCCACAGCCAUAUCACCCUGCAGCCCAAGACUGGUUGCCCACUGAAGCUAAGCAGGUUUGAGCCUGGUUAGUACCUGGAUGGGAGACCUCCUGGGAAAACUAGGUUGCUGUUGGAA